This is a non-coding RNA of Spiroplasma melliferum KC3, 98 nucleotides long. Lineage: Bacteria; Bacillati; Mycoplasmatota; Mollicutes; Entomoplasmatales; Spiroplasmataceae. The record is from Rfam.
AUUUAAUACUUACAAUAAUCCUAUAUAUACUAGAAAUAUGGUCUAGUGUCUCUACAAUUAACCUUAAAUUAAAUACUAUAGGUCUUAAUUUAUUUUUA